CCCGGCGGCGAUAGCGCGGUGGUCCCACCUGACCCCAUGCCGAACUCAGAAGUGAAACGCCGUAGCGCCGAUGGUAGUGUGGGGUCUCCCCAUGUGAGAGUAGGGAACUGCCAGGC
Molecule: ribosomal RNA, 116 nt
Filed under: Klebsiella aerogenes
Lineage: Bacteria; Pseudomonadati; Pseudomonadota; Gammaproteobacteria; Enterobacterales; Enterobacteriaceae
Also listed under: 2 other names
Source: RNAcentral